UUCAGGUAACACAUAAAUACCUUAUGGAAGUAAACUUCUUAGGCUGGUGUCUAAGUUGUUCCUUCCAGCAUCUCUCUAGACCAAAUACUGCAUUGCCCUUGGCCCAUUUUUAUGCUAUGGUGACUCCAGCAAGUCGGACGAAUUUGAUACAGGUCAGGCACCAUUUCUAAUCGAUCUGUGUGUUGAGGACACAGGGAGAUAGAAUCGUCACCUCUACAAGAAGAGUUUUUGAGCAAUUUUUCCACUAGUUUUCGGUGGAUCAGAUUAUCAUCCAAAGCUAAAACACGUGUUUGAUCUGCGUAGUCUCCCAUCACCUUCUUCAUUGAGGAACAAGACCCAACAGCACUUUCCAUCUUUUUAUAAAAUCAUAAGCAUUUAAGAGCUAGCUAGCGCCAUUAAUCCUCCAAGUUAUUGCAUUUUCCAAUAUUCCUAGUUUAUAUGGCACAAGACUAAAUAAAAUAGCUUCUCUGACAAAGCCUACAAUAAAAGAAAACCAUCAAACGGACUCACAGGAGAUGCAUAACGUAUAAUGAGUGCGAAUUUUCUUGAUUUGAUUGAAAUGCCUCAUAGAUUGAAGCACAGAAUUAUACUGUAAACGCCAAGACAGGGGCAUGAGCAAAAUUAUACUGUAAACACCAAGACAUUGGAGCACAAAGACAG
Molecule: unclassified non-coding RNA, 660 nt
Filed under: Hevea brasiliensis (rubber tree)
Lineage: Eukaryota; Viridiplantae; Streptophyta; Magnoliopsida; Malpighiales; Euphorbiaceae
Source: RNAcentral